GAUGAACGCUGGCGGCGUGCUUAACACAUGCAAGUCGAACGAUGAAGCCCAGCUUGCUGGGUGGAUUAGUGGCGAACGGGUGAGUAACACGUGAGUAACCUGCCCUUAACUCUGGGAUAAGCCUGGGAAACUGGGUGUAAUACCGGACAGGAGCGUCCACCGCCUGGAGGGUGUUGGAAUGAUUUAUCGGCUUUCGAUGGUUUCGCGGCCAAUCAGCUAGUUGGUGAGGUAUUGGCACACGAACGGGACGCCGGGUAGCCGGCAUGUGAGGGUGAACGGGCACACUGGGCCUGCGACACGGAGCAGACGCCUACGGGAGGCAACAGUGGGGAAUCUUGCGCAAUGAGCGCAAGCCUGAUGCAGCGGUGCCGCGUGAGGGAAAACGGCUUUCGAGUUGUAAACCUCUGUCAGUGGGGAAGAAGCGAAAGUGACGGUACCUACAGAAGAAGCACCGGCUAACUACGUG
Molecule: ribosomal RNA, 466 nt
Filed under: uncultured bacterium
Lineage: Bacteria
Description: partial 16S ribosomal RNA
Rfam family: Bacterial small subunit ribosomal RNA
Source: RNAcentral